UUGGUUUAAACAUUGAUAUAACUACACAAAAAAGUGUUGAAAAUAUUGUAGAUAAAAAUGUCAUUUCCGACUUGAGAACUUAACAGGCCAUGUGCGACCAAUUUUAACAUCAUAUCCACUAACUAGAUUUGGUACACAAAAUCGCGCUUUGAAUCAUUAGCAUUACAAAACAUAUGGAUGGCUUGAAUAUAGUAUAUCAAAAGAUUCAAUUUUUUUGCUUUGUAGAAACUUUUGUACUAGAAAACGUGGCAAUUUUGAAGAUAGCUUUUUAGUUGGUUUUAGAAAUUGGAAAAAAUUAUGUGUUUGUUGAGUGUUUUUAGUGGAUCUAAAGGUGGGAAUAAAAGUAAACUCAAUACAUUUGAUGCAUAUGCCAAAAGUAAUUUACAUCUUACAUGUAUGGUUUAUGUAUUAAAUGGUCUGCAUAUCAGAAAACAAAAGAAACUGGUAGUGUUUAUUCUCAAAUAUCUUCUCAGCAUUCAUUGAUAGUUGAAAGUAAUAAAAAAUAUAUGAAAAUGUUAGUUGAUAUUGUUUUAUUUGUAAGUUGUCUAGGAAUUGGUUUAAGGA
Molecule: long non-coding RNA, 564 nt
Organism: Sipha flava (yellow sugarcane aphid)
Lineage: Eukaryota; Metazoa; Arthropoda; Insecta; Hemiptera; Aphididae
Exons: 3
Source: RefSeq, a predicted model, not a curated record